This 253-nucleotide ribosomal RNA is filed under the name uncultured bacterium. Its description in RNAcentral is "partial 16S ribosomal RNA". It matches the Rfam family "Bacterial small subunit ribosomal RNA", at positions 524 to 776 of the family's 1533-position model. The record is from RNAcentral.
UACGUAGGGGGCAAGCGUUAUCCGGAUUCACUGGGCGUAAAGGGAGUGCAGGCGGCACGGCAAGUCUGGUGUGAAAACCCGGGGCUCAACCCCGGGACUGCAUUGGAAACUGCCGGGCUGGAGUGUCGGAGGGGUAAGCGGAAUUCCUAGUGUAGCGGUGAAAUGCGUAGAUAUUAGGAGGAACACCAGUGGCGAAGGCGGCUUACUGGACGAUGACUGACGCUGAGGCUCGAAAGCGUGGGGAGCAAACAGG